This 607-nucleotide ribosomal RNA is filed under the name uncultured bacterium. RNAcentral's name for it is "bacterial SSU rRNA". It matches the Rfam family "Bacterial small subunit ribosomal RNA", at positions 331 to 929 of the family's 1533-position model. The record is from RNAcentral.
CCAGACUCCUACGGGAGGCAGCAGUGGGGAAUCUUCCGCAAUGGGCGCAAGCCUGACGGAGCAACGCCGCGUGAGUGAAGAAGGUCUUCGGAUCGUAAAGCUCUGUUGAUGGGGACGAACGUGCCUAAUGCGAAUAGUUUUAGGCAAUGACGGUACCCAUCGAGGAAGCCACGGCUAACUACGUGCCAGCAGCCGCGGUAAUACGUAGGUGGCGAGCGUUGUCCGGAAUCAUUGGGCGUAAAGGGAGCGCAGGCGGGCAUGUAAGUCUUUCUUAAAAGUGCGGGGCUCAACCCCGUGAUGGGAAAGAAACUAUGUGUCUUGAGUACAGGAGAGGAAAGCGGAAUUCCCAGUGUAGCGGUGAAAUGCGUAGAUAUUGGGAGGAACACCAGUGGCGAAGGCGGCUUUCUGGACUGCAACUGACGCUGAGGCUCGAAAGCCAGGGGAGCGAACGGGAUUAGAUACCCCGGUAGUCCUGGCCGUAAACGAUGGAUACUAGGUGUGGGAGGUAUCGACCCCUACCGUGCCGGAGUUAACGCAAUAAGUAUCCCGCCUGGGGAGUACGGCCGCAAGGCUGAAACUCAAAGGAAUUGACGGGGGCCCGCACAAG